GAAAUGCGAUAAGUAAUGUGAAUUGCAGAAUUCAGUGAAUCAUCGAAUCUUUGAACGCACCUUGCGCUCCUUGGUAUUCCUUGGAGCAUGCCUGUUUGAGUAUCAUGAAAUCUUCAAAGUAAAUCUUUUGUUAACUCAAUUGGUUUCUACUUUGGUAUUGGAGGUCUUUGCAGCUUCACACCUGCUCCUCUUUGUUCAUUAGCUGGAUCUCAGUGUUAUGCUUGGUUCCACUCGGCGUGAUAAGUUAUCUAUCGCUGAGGACACUGUAAAAGGUGGCCAAGGUAAAUGCAGAUGAACCGCUUCUAAUAGUCCAUUGACUUGGACAAUACUUUUAUGAUCUGAUCUCAAGUCAGGUAGGACUACCCGCUGAACUUAAGC
RNAcentral lists this unclassified non-coding RNA (378 nucleotides) under plant metagenome. Its description in RNAcentral is "partial contains 5.8S ribosomal RNA, internal transcribed spacer 2, and large subunit ribosomal RNA". The stretch from base 1 to 105 matches the Rfam family "5.8S ribosomal RNA", at positions 50 to 154 of the family's 154-position model. The record is from RNAcentral.